AUCAAGAACAAGAAGCAAAAAAAGAUGUGCGCUUUGAAAACCAGAGCGUAUUAACUCURACGACGCCUGCAACGGAGACCGGUUCAAGUGAAAUUAACAACGGAGAAAGAUCAUCUGCGAUUUACAACAUACAACCGCCGCUGUCUACUAUGCCAACGGCAUCUUUUGACUUGUCCCCUCACCAAGACGUGGCGUUUGUGAACAGAUUCAACGAGCUCUUUGACCAGAAUGUGCAGGAUAACGAAGAUUAUAUGUUCAAUACGUCCGGGGAAAUCAAUGAGAAAAAAUCCGAGGCUGUCGGAGGAGGAGGAGGCGAUGACGCCCUGUUGUUCCAGAAUAACAUUUAUUUUGACACACCACAACAGAGCACCAACAACGAUGACGACGCGGCUGCAUCGCAUGCUACUG
Long non-coding RNA from Austrofundulus limnaeus, 408 nucleotides. RefSeq lists it as uncharacterized. Lineage: Eukaryota; Metazoa; Chordata; Actinopteri; Cyprinodontiformes; Rivulidae. The transcript is spliced from 3 exons. The record is from RefSeq and is a predicted model, not a curated record.